AUUAAUUAGUUUAUAAUUAAAUUCAUUAUUAUUAUUUUUAUUAUUAUUUCGUUGAGAUUAAGAAGCUCAUUAAUUAAUUUAUAUUAACUCAUCUUGUUUAAAUUUUAAUCAAAUUCACCGAUUAAAUUCAAUUGGCUAUAAUUUUAAUCAAAUGAGUUAAAUUGUCAAUUCAAAUUUAACCUCCCCCCUUACUUCACACUAAUCCAUUUGUGAUGAAUUGACCUGGGCCCUAUUUGUAAAUUCUGGCGGCCCAUCUCAUUUUGUCCAAUUCUUAUUUCCAUUCCCUUCAGCCAAUCCCAAAAUCCAGCCCACCCAAGAUAUUCCCAGCCCAUCCAUACAUGCAACAAUACAAUAAUACACUCCCAAACAACAAAAACCUCUUCCAGCCGCCUCAACCCACUCCAAAACAGUACCCAACCCCUGUUGCUCUUCUUCUUCACGUGAAGAUCGAAAUCCAACGAGCAAAUCGCGCUGCAAACUUGAAAAUCUCAUCCAAACCCAUACCCUGGCAUCCCUAAUGUCAAACCCUCACGUCCCCUUUCCCCCAUUUUAAGGGAUUUUUUCAAAGCUUUCUACUGUUGUCUUGAAAAGGGGCAGAAUGAAUUCAAAUUUGGAAUUCAAUUUUUCACGCGAUUUCCCCCUAAUUUCCAUCUAUAUAUUCAUCUAUUUUAGUCACUUUGGGGGAGUUCCUUUUUUAGAAGUUGGAGUUUUCAGAAAAUAAGCACUUUACACUUUAGAAUUUCGCAUUUAAUCCUUUGAUUCUAAGUUCCGAUUCUCUUGGCUUGCUGUUCAUAUUGAGAUUUCGUGAUAGAAGAGUCGCUGCUCACAACUCGUUUGUCCUAGUCUCGCUGCCCCGGAAGAGGUAAAGCUCUUCCCUUUGCAAUACUCUUUUUGCCCUUUGCUAUUUUGACUUGGCGUUAUUCGUCGUAGUAUGUUUCUGUCCUUCGAGUUCUUAAUGUCUUAAUUUGAGAUUCUUAUAGCGUUGUUUUAGUUGACUUAAAUUUAAGCUGUAAGUUUUGGUGUAUAUAAUUCUUUGACUGUAAAUCGUUAUACUCAUCUAAAAUCGAUUCGUAUAUUGCUCGAUAAUCUUACUCGUUGUCUUUUUUUUUAAAAUUUAUUUGCUUAGUGUGAGUUCUCUUCAUGCUCAUUUGGUCUCUAGUACUUGGAAUUCUUUCUCCCUGUAUAUCCCCUGCUCAAUAUAGGUUAUUAAAAUAUGCAUUCAAAUACUUCUCGUGUAUUAUUCCUAUUUUUGAAAGCUAAUCCGCUUUUCAAGUUUAGAUGUAGCAUGUUUAUUUGAACUAGUUAAUAGAAAGGUUUGAAGGUGAAGCCUCUCCAUUCCGUGAAGCUAGUGAACUAGUUGACGGUCUGAUUUAAUACAAGUGCGAGAUGAGUCUUUUUUGGAUUAGAAAGUAGUCAUUUGAGUUAGAUCUUUAACGAGGUUUGAGUUCGCUAAUUCUUAUCUAAAUCGAUGAGUUGGGUCUUAUUUUAGGAGCAUGUUAUAGGUUGUUUCUUUCUUGGUGAAGCAUAUAGUCAAGUAACUGGUUUGCUCUCCUCUUCUCUGUAAUUAUGUUGGCUUUAGAAGUUAUUGUUUCGAGUAUGGAUUAGAGUCAUCGCAUGUCCAUUCUUAAUUCAUUUUUUUAUGCGACUCAAGCAUUCCCAUUAACAUAUAUAGAAUUGUUAUCCUUGUCAAGCAUACCUUUGGUGAUGUAUAUUUGGAUUGUCUUGGAUUUUUGUGUAGUAAUUUUAUCUCGCGCAAGCUAUAUUUUCUGCCCAUUUGCUCUCUUUUUCUUUGUGUGUUGAUAUGUUUGGUUAUUUCUUUUGUACUUGUUGCACCAUUUCGAAUGCUAAUGUUGUCUCUUUUCGCUUGUUGUAUGAACCCCUCCCGAGUCCAUGAUGGACUUCUCUUCUUUGCAUUGCCGAGUUGAGCCAUAAAAGCUCUUUUCUUUGUCAUUCGAGUUGGCCAGGCCAUCGAGAGUAGGUGUACAUGUGGAAAGCAUCAAAUAGGGCCUGAAAUUGGAUUAACAGGUUCUGGAAAGCUGAAAGCAGGCUGAGGUACAGCAUGUAUACAUUGGUAUACCAGCUGUAUACAUACUAAAAUACCAUAUACAUGUCCAAAAACGAAAAUACAGGUUGGAGACAUCAAAAUGAAUCGUAUACAAUUGGUAUACGGUUCAAUAUACAGGAAAAUGGGCCAUGACACGACCUGUAUACAGCUGUAUACAUUUGGUGUAUAUAUAAAAUUUCAAGGGGCCAAAGUAGGGCCAAAGCCCAAACAAUUGCAGCAGGCCCAAGGAGGCCCAAAUUCAUUUCUCCUUUACUCUUAACUUAUUCAAUUGUGUGAUUAUUAUUUUUAUUAUUUAACUCUAACUUUCAAUUAACUUAAUUAAGAUUCCCCAAAAGAUGAGUUAUUUCUUUGUGUUGGUGUGCUUUAAAAUUAUUAUUUUUUGUGUUGAGG
RNAcentral lists this long non-coding RNA (2455 nucleotides) under Solanum tuberosum (potato). RNAcentral's name for it is "long non-coding RNA (STUB_LNC007042)". Lineage: Eukaryota; Viridiplantae; Streptophyta; Magnoliopsida; Solanales; Solanaceae. The record is from RNAcentral.